UACAGAGGUCUCAAGCGUUGUUCGGAUUCAUUGGGCGUAAAGGGUGCGUAGGCGGCGCGGUAAGUCAGGUGUGAAAUCUCGGGGCUUAACUCCGAAACUGCAUUCGAUACUACCGUGCUUGAGGACUGGAGAGGAGACUGGAAUUUACGGUGUAGCGGUGAAAUGCGUAGAUAUCGUAAGGAAGACCAGUGGCGAAGGCGGGUCUCUGGACAGUUCCUGACGCUGAGGCACGAAGGCCAGGGGAGCAAACGGG
Molecule: ribosomal RNA, 253 nt
Filed under: uncultured bacterium
Lineage: Bacteria
Description: partial 16S ribosomal RNA
Rfam family: Bacterial small subunit ribosomal RNA
Source: RNAcentral